GACGAACGCUGGCGGCGUGCCUAAUACAUGCAAGUAGAACGCACAGUUUAUACCGUAGCUUGCUACACCAUAGACUGUGAGUUGCGAACGGGUUAGUAACGCGUAGGUAACCUGCCUGGUAGCGGGGGAUAACUAUUGGAAACGAUAGCUAAUACCGCAUAAUAUUAAUUAUUGCAUGAUAAUUAAUUGAAAGGUGCAAUUGCACCACUACCAGAUGGACCUGCGUUGUAUUAGCUAGUAGGUGAGGUAACGGCUCACCUAGGCGACGAUACAUAGCCGACCUGAGAGGGUGAUCGGCCACACUGGGACUGAGACACGGCCCAGACUCCUACGGGAGGCAGCAGUAGGGAAUCUUCGGCAAUGGACGAAAGUCUGACCGAGCAACGCCGCGUGAGUGAAGAAGGUUUUCGGAUCGUAAAGCUCUGUUGUAAGAGAAGAACGGGUGUGAGAGUGGAAAGUUCACACUGUGACGGUAUCUUACCAGAAAGGGACGGCUAACUACGUG
RNAcentral lists this ribosomal RNA (505 nucleotides) under uncultured bacterium. RNAcentral describes it as "partial 16S ribosomal RNA". It matches the Rfam family "Bacterial small subunit ribosomal RNA", at positions 28 to 507 of the family's 1533-position model. The record is from RNAcentral.